GAAGGGUAGAGUUCAGUGGUAGAACAUGUGCUUAGCAUGCAUGAGGUCCUGGGUUCAAUUCCCAGUCCCUCCA
Camelus ferus (Wild Bactrian camel) is the source of this 73-nucleotide non-coding RNA. The record is from Rfam. Lineage: Eukaryota; Metazoa; Chordata; Mammalia; Artiodactyla; Camelidae.